AAGGGAAACGUAGGCUACAACCCAUCUACGAGUUCUGGUUAAAUUGAACUGGUCUUAGACCUUCGUGGUGAAGGUGAUCUUGAAGAGGCCUUACCUUUUCACCGCUCAAUGCCCAGGGACUUCCCUCUUCAUCGUGAUGAUAUUAAUUGUGAUGGGGAACUUGCAUGGACCAAUAGAGGACCAGAGUAGCUUGAGGACCAACACAAACAAUGUCUCACUCAGGUGUGCAUCGGGCUGCCUUUGGCCCUGGGAACAGCCUGAACUCUGGCCUCUCUCGGUAGAGAGCCACAGCUGCCGUGGAAGCCCAGAGAUCGCUCCACAGAGUGGCUGUUCGCACGUAACCUCAGCGGACUCUGGAAAAAUGAACAGGCAUUAAAAUGAAUGUGGUGGGUUUUUUAAACUUUGAAUCCAAAAUAAGACAUUGGCCUUUCUCAAAAAAGUCAAAUAUUAUUAGCUGACAUUAAAGUCAAUUGCAGUGUAAAUGCAAAAGUCUACUCACUAGAUGAACGAAUACAGUUUCAGUUGCAUUUUCCUCUAGAUAAAUAAAGUAUUUUUGAGUGACACCAUUUAAACGUUUUUCAACGUACAUCUAUUUCAUGACUUAUUUUUAUAUCCAAAUUGUAAUAUCAUGCUGCAACAACAACCAAUUAAACAGAUUUCUGAACAA
Micropterus salmoides (largemouth bass) is the source of this 667-nucleotide long non-coding RNA. RefSeq lists it as uncharacterized. NCBI's taxonomy places the organism in Eukaryota, Metazoa, Chordata, Actinopteri, Centrarchiformes, Centrarchidae. The record is from RefSeq and is a predicted model, not a curated record. The transcript is spliced from 3 exons.